GGCGCUGUGGCUCAAGUGGUAGAGCGCUAGCCUUGAGAGCUUAGGGACAGCGCCC
RNAcentral lists this transfer RNA (55 nucleotides) under Dipodomys ordii (Ord's kangaroo rat). Lineage: Eukaryota; Metazoa; Chordata; Mammalia; Rodentia; Heteromyidae. The record is from Rfam by way of RNAcentral.